GAUGAAGAACGCAGCGAAAUGCGAUAAGUAAUGUGAAUUGCAGAAUUCAGUGAAUCAUCGAAUCUUUGAACGCACAUUGCGCCCACCAGCAUUCUGGCGGGCAUGCCUGUUCGAGCGUCAUUUCAACCCUCAAGCUCUGCUUGGUGUUGGGGCCCUACGGUUGACGUAGGCCCUUAAAGGUAGUGGCGGACCCUCUCGGAGCCUCCUUUGCGUAGUAACUAACGUCUCACAUUGGGAUUCGGAGGGACUCUUGCCGUAAAACCCCCAAAUUUUCUAAUGGUUGACCUCGGAUCAGGUAGGAAUACCCGCUGAACUUAAGCAUAUCAAUAAGCGGAGGA
Molecule: unclassified non-coding RNA, 338 nt
Filed under: soil metagenome
Description: partial contains 5.8S ribosomal RNA, internal transcribed spacer 2, and large subunit ribosomal RNA
Rfam family: 5.8S ribosomal RNA (bases 1-120)
Source: RNAcentral